UAUCCCCUACGGGAGGCAGCAGUGGGGAAUUUUGGACAAUGGGCGCAAGCCUGAUCCAGCUAUUCCGCGUGUGGGAUGACGGCCCUCGGGAUGUAAACCACUUUAGUAGAGAACGAAAAGGAGCUACCGAAUAAAUAGCUCUGCUGACGGUACUCUAAGAAUAAGCACCGGCUAACUACGUGCCAGCAGCCGCGGUAAUACGUCGGGUGCGAGCGUUAAUCGGAAUUACUGGGCGUAAAGGGUGUGCAGGCGGCUGAGUAAGACAGAUGUGAA
RNAcentral lists this ribosomal RNA (273 nucleotides) under uncultured bacterium. Its description in RNAcentral is "partial 16S ribosomal RNA". It matches the Rfam family "Bacterial small subunit ribosomal RNA", at positions 333 to 598 of the family's 1533-position model. The record is from RNAcentral.